RNAcentral lists this RNase P RNA (254 nucleotides) under Candidatus Bathyarchaeota archaeon. RNAcentral describes it as "partial RNase P RNA component". It matches the Rfam family "Archaeal RNase P", at positions 1 to 245 of the family's 288-position model. From Rfam's summary of the family: Ribonuclease P (RNase P) is a ubiquitous endoribonuclease, found in archaea, bacteria and eukarya as well as chloroplasts and mitochondria. Its best characterised activity is the generation of mature 5'-ends of tRNAs by cleaving the 5'-leader elements of precursor-tRNAs. Lineage: Archaea; Thermoproteati; Candidatus Bathyarchaeota. RNAcentral also lists the same sequence under 1 other name. The record is from RNAcentral.
GUGAGCUGGCGGACGGCCUUCGGGCCACUUAUGGCCUGAGGAAACUCCGCCCACCACGCAGCCCGCAGCGCCGCAAGGCGCGGGGCGAGAGCCCCGGCUCCGGAGCAGAAACGGAACGCCCACCAGGCCCAUGACGCUGAGGCGUGCUAAGUCGCCGAGUAGGCUUGGUGGGAGCGGUGAAACGGCCGUCCUGCGGGGUGAAAGGGCGAGUAGGCGCCUAUGAAUGCUGCGUGAGGCGCGGGUAGCCCGUUUAG